CUACCAUCAACCCAGUCACCCCGGUUAGCAGACCACCACCUAACAUCAACCCAAACACUAGACCGCCGCCUACAAUCACCCCAGUCACCCCCACCACCGCCACCAGACCACCACCCAACAUCACCCCGGUCACCCCGUCAGCCGGAAGUCUACGUGGCCCGGCCCCACAUCUUCGUCCUUUAGUAAACAGUGAUAUUCGCUCCCCGGCCCCACAUAUUCGACCUUUGGUAAACAGUGAUAUCCGAGCCCCGGCCCCACAUCUUCGACCUUAUAAACCUUCCACGUCAGCAUCUCCUGAAUUGACACCCUAUCGGAGGAUGGUCCCGGUGCCAGUGCCAGGUCAGCAUGUCACAACCCCCCCAAAUACCCAACCGCCACUACCUCCGGAAGCUUUUCAUGUUCCACCACCACCACCACCAAGUGGAGGAGGGGCUCAGUAUAACUUAGUGGACCUAACUGAUAUCUUCCACGAGGAUAAUGAAAAUGCACCACCACAACCACCACCACCACCACCACGAAGUGGAGGAGGAGUGGGUCUUGAGUUGGUUUGCUUGUCGGAUGAUGACUAGACUAACUAUAUUUAUAUAUAUCUUUUGUAAAGAAUGUGCGUAUAGUUGUAAUGGGCAAUGGCCAAUUCUAUUCUAGAGGAGUUCAAAUCAAAUGUUGUAAUUUUUUUUUGAAAUUUUGUUUUGGCCCCUUGCUUGAGCUUGUUAACCACGGGUUCUUUGUAGACUUUCAUGGUUUUCUAGUUAUUGGACGUUGAUAUUUGAGAGGAAAACUAUGAUCACCUUU
Molecule: long non-coding RNA, 792 nt
Filed under: Lactuca sativa (garden lettuce)
Lineage: Eukaryota; Viridiplantae; Streptophyta; Magnoliopsida; Asterales; Asteraceae
Description: long non-coding RNA (LSAT_LNC000325)
Source: RNAcentral